GGGGCUGAUUCUGGAUUCGACGGGAUUAGCGAAGUCCAAGGUGCACGUCGAGGUGCGGUAGGCCUCGUAAACAAACCGCAAAAAAAUAGUCGCAAACGACGAACAAUACGCUUUAGCAGCUUAAUAACCUGCUCAUAGCCUUAUCGCCUCAGCUUCC
This 157-nucleotide transfer-messenger RNA is filed under the name Xanthomonas citri pv. citri. Its description in RNAcentral is "partial transfer-messenger RNA". It matches the Rfam family "transfer-messenger RNA", at positions 1 to 160 of the family's 374-position model. From Rfam's summary of the family: Bacterial tmRNA, also known as 10Sa RNA or SsrA, is named for its dual tRNA and mRNA-like properties. Its role is to liberate the mRNA from a stalled ribosome. To accomplish this part of the tmRNA is used as a reading frame that ends in a translation stop signal. Lineage: Bacteria; Pseudomonadati; Pseudomonadota; Gammaproteobacteria; Lysobacterales; Lysobacteraceae. The record is from RNAcentral.